Long non-coding RNA from Carassius gibelio (silver crucian carp), 1897 nucleotides. RefSeq lists it as uncharacterized. Lineage: Eukaryota; Metazoa; Chordata; Actinopteri; Cypriniformes; Cyprinidae. The record is from RefSeq and is a predicted model, not a curated record. The transcript has 3 exons.
UGUAUAUAUACGUGUUUGCCUGUCUGCUCGCUAUAGGCUCCAGGCGGCAGCCGGCACAGUCAAAGGCGGUCUAAUAUUAGCACCUCACUGAUGGCUUGCUGUAUCUGGACGAAAGAGGGUGAUAAAUGAGGAUAGCAUUGGUGGGGGCCAUGGAGCCAAGGGGGAAAUGUAAAAUAGAUAGCAUCGCAGUUUUACCGCCAAAAUGCCUACACGCAUGUCCCGUCCUCAUUACAGAGGAUAUAAUGCUCAUUCUGCAUGUGACACCUAGAGAUUAGCCAGAGACUGUGAGAUCAUGAAGCAAGUGAAGGAAAGAGAGGAAGAGGGCAGUGUGGUGCUGGUUUGUGCUUUCUCUCAGCUCCAGUCGCUGAUUUAAUCCCAUGUGCUGUUGUCCGUCGCUAGCCUCCCUGCCUGCUCUGCUUGUCCCUCCCCCAUCAGCUCGGGCUGCUCUCCCCCCUCGCUUUGCCCAAGCCUGGGGGAGCCAGUGGAGAUUAAAUGUAGCCUCUAUAAGCCAAGCACAUCAUGUAGCUGUGUUUAUAGGGCCUCUUUUUCUCUCUCUGUCUUUCUGCCUCACUUUCAUUCUCUUUUUAAAGGAUAGUGUUUAUGAUGUCAGGCAUGUGAUAGAGAACUUCUAGAAUGUCAAUGUCAUUGGGAAUACCAAAAUAUUUUAUAAGCAAUGAAGUAAAAAUGACAAAAAAUCAAAAUGCAAGAAAGUCUAUGCCUUUUUCUACACUAUUUCUCCUUCUCCGCCAACAUCCUCCCCACUUCGGGUUGAUACUGCAGAGAAGUGGGCCUCUGGCUUUAAAUGAUCACAGCUGUGCGAGCAAAUUAAUGGAUGAUAUUUCUCUGUUUUCCCCCCUUUCUACAACGUUUUUCAACAUGGAUUUAUAAAGAGGGAAAGAGGGACCAGGGGUGUCACGCUUCUACGUUUUCCCCCUCCUCUUUCCAAUUUUGCAUGCAUCUCAGUCUGCUCAACUAUGAGAGAGAGGAAGAGUGUGCAUGUGUGUGUCCUGGGAGAGAGAGAGCAGGCGAGAGCGAGAGAGAUGGCGAGGGAGGGAGAAAAUGAAAUGUAAGACAGAUACGGAGAGUGAAAGAAGAAGGGAGUGUGGAGAGAGCAAGCUAGCGAGAGUCGAGAGCCAGUAACGCGGUGCAUUGAUGCAUUUGCUGCUUCUCAGACGUGCUCUUUCGGCGGGACGUAGCCCGGGGUUUUUGGCAGCAGCAGCAGGCUUCCUGUUUUCCAUCACCCAAUCAAGCCAGACCUGGAAUAGGGAUAAACGCACGAACGGAGUUGCCGCGGCUGAGCAGCGCUGGACGAGUGAGGCUGCGAGAAAACUGUGAUCGGCUUCAUACUCAUCCUCAUCCUCACACCAGGGUUAGAACGGCUGCAGGAAGAAAGGGGAGAGUUAACCGUCGUUUUUGCUGUGCAAUCCGAUCUGUAGAACACAGAGGGGAGGAAAGAUAAAAGGAAACAGAAGCGCGGUUGGAGUCUGUCUACAGGAAGAGCCUGAUUAGAGGUGAGCCUGCAGCAGGCACAUUGGCUGAGGAAGCAGCCAAUCACAAGGGCAGCCAGGAAGGGCAAAGCCUAUCUGCCUUUGGCAAACCGUUUCUCUGUGUGUCACUUCACUCUUGUUGAACACAAUGUAUCAGGUAUCAAUCUGGUAUACUUAAUUACAAUAUAAAUGUACCUCAUGUAAUUCAUGUCAUAUGUAACAUGUUCUUUGAGCAUUUCAGGUCACGUUCUCUCAGCGCAUGUAUUAUUAAUGGAUUUAAUGGCUCACUGGUGUUUCUUGUAAUAUGCAUGCUCAUGAACAUUAAUAAAGCAAACACGUGUUUGGGAAUGCACUUUAUUGAACUGUGAAGGAAUUAAUGACACAAGGGUCUCUAUAUGUCAUGCAGUUUU